UCUCAGAGCUCGGUUUCCCGCCAGCCGUGU
This 30-nucleotide non-coding RNA is filed under the name Homo sapiens (human). Lineage: Eukaryota; Metazoa; Chordata; Mammalia; Primates; Hominidae. The record is from RNAcentral.